This is a long non-coding RNA of Cryptomeria japonica (Japanese cedar), 629 nucleotides long. RefSeq lists it as uncharacterized. The record is from RefSeq and is a predicted model, not a curated record. The transcript is spliced from 2 exons. NCBI's taxonomy places the organism in Eukaryota, Viridiplantae, Streptophyta, Pinopsida, Cupressales, Cupressaceae.
GAAGGAAAAAUAAAAAUUACAAAGGGCUUUGAUAACCCUAAAAGCUUAUACUCCUUUCGCAAUGACUUGGCCUCUCAUUUUCCAAAAUGAAAACAACUGGAGAAGCUUUUCGAGGGUUUGAGACCCUUUGGUGCUGCCAUUGCUGUUCUAAUUUCCGUCGCUUUGUGAAGUCUUUGAUGAAGAAUAUAUGUUUUUUACUGGUGCUACUGCCCAAGAUAAAUUUGAUUGCAGUUUUCAAACAACCCAGGUUGCGACUGUGCAUUAAAAGUUAGACUUUUUCUUGAAGGCAUGCUGAAGUUUUCUGAAUCUUCUCUUAAAUGCAAGUCCCAUUUUCCAUAGGAAAGCAGGGUUUGUUCAGAAUUCGAAGACCGAGAAAACAGUCAUAAGGGCAACGGGACAGCCAAUAACCAGUCAAAGCAACCCAAGGCAAUGACUGGUUAUCCUUACACUCACUAUUUAAUUCUAUCCUUUUCUGUUUUGGAUAUGUAGGAAAGAUAGAAAUGCUAAGCUCACGGCUUGUGUGAGGUUUUAAGGAAUUCAGUGCAUGUAUAAAUAUGCUUCAAAUGCAUGAACUCAAUUUGUAAUCUAUCAUUGUUCAAUACAAAUGAAAAUACCCUUUUUUUUUUAAA